UACGUAGGGUGCAAGCGUUGUCCGGAAUUAUUGGGCGUAAAGAGCUCGUAGGCGGUCUGUCACGUCGGCUGUGAAAACCCGAGGCUCAACCUCGGGCCUGCAGUCGAUACGGGCAAACUAGAGUACUGCAGGGGAGACUGGAAUUCCUGGUGUAGCGGUGAAAUGCGCAGAUAUCAGGAGGAACACCGGUGGCGAAGGCGGGGUCUCUGGGGCAGUAACUGACGUGGAGGAGCGAAAAGCCGUGGGGGAGCGAACAGG
Molecule: ribosomal RNA, 258 nt
Filed under: uncultured bacterium
Lineage: Bacteria
Description: partial 16S ribosomal RNA
Rfam family: Bacterial small subunit ribosomal RNA
Source: RNAcentral